Molecule: ribosomal RNA, 422 nt
Filed under: uncultured bacterium
Lineage: Bacteria
Description: bacterial SSU rRNA
Rfam family: Bacterial small subunit ribosomal RNA
Source: RNAcentral
UGAGGAAUAUUGGACAAUGGAUGGAAAUCUGAUCCAGCCAUGCCGCGUGCAGGAAGACGGCCCUAUGGGUUGUAAACUGCUUUUGUAUGGGAGCAAUAAGGACUACGUGUAGUUUGAUGAGAGUACCAUACGAAUAAGCAUCGGCUAACUCCGUGCCAGCAGCCGCGGUAAUACGGAGUAUGCGAGCGUUAUCCGGAUUUAUUGGGUUUAAAGGGUGCGUAGGCGGCGAUAUAAGUCAGUGGUGAAAUAUUUCGGCUUAACCGAGAGACUGCCAUUGAUACUGUGUUGCUAGAAUAUGGUUGCUGUGAGUGGAAUGUGUGGUGUAGCGGUGAAAUGCUUAGAUAUCACACAGAAUAUCGAUUGCGAAGGCAGCUCACAAAGCCAUUAUUGACGCUGAGGCACGAAAGUGUGGGGAUCAAACA